AUCAGGUAGGAUUACCCGCUGAACUUAAGCAUAUCAAUAAGCGGAGGAA
This 49-nucleotide ribosomal RNA is filed under the name Exobasidiomycetidae sp. IBL 03150. Its description in RNAcentral is "partial 28S ribosomal RNA". The record is from RNAcentral. Lineage: Eukaryota; Fungi; Basidiomycota; Exobasidiomycetes.